This 492-nucleotide ribosomal RNA is filed under the name uncultured bacterium. RNAcentral's name for it is "partial 16S ribosomal RNA". It matches the Rfam family "Bacterial small subunit ribosomal RNA", at positions 29 to 507 of the family's 1533-position model. The record is from RNAcentral.
AGUGAACGCUGGCGGUAGGCCUAACACAUGCAAGUCGAACGGCAGCACAGUAAGAGCUUGCUCUUACGGGUGGCGAGUGGCGGACGGGUGAGGAAUGCAUCGGAAUCUACUUUUUCGUGGGGGAUAACGUAGGGAAACUUACGCUAAUACCGCAUACGACCUACGGGUGAAAGCAGGGGAUCUUCGGACCUUGCGCGAUUGAAUGAGCCGAUGUCGGAUUAGCUAGUUGGCGGGGUAAAGGCCCACCAAGGCGACGAUCCGUAGCUGGUCUGAGAGGAUGAUCAGCCACACUGGAACUGAGACACGGUCCAGACUCCUACGGGAGGCAGCAGUGGGGAAUAUUGGACAAUGGGCGCAAGCCUGAUCCAGCCAUACCGCGUGGGUGAAGAAGGCCUUCGGGUUGUAAAGCCCUUUUGUUGGGAAAGAAAAGCAGCAGGUUAAUACCCCGCUGUUCUGACGGUACCCAAAGAGUAAGCACCGGCUAACUUCGUG